AUCAAAAUCAGUUAAGAUAAACGUGAGAAGGAAAACAUUACUCUGAAAUGAUGGCUGCUGUUGGUCUGCAGAUUCCUAACUCUGGACAACAAAGAGCAAAGUCUGCUGAAGAGAAUGGAAAGAUUAGAUUUCUUCAAAAAGGGAACCAAGUUUCACCACCACCACCACUCCUUUAGCUUCUGGAUUUACCUACAACUCCUAACUUUCUCAGUGAAUUGCACAAGAAAUUCUGUGGACAAGAGCCCUGCUGACAACAGUCCCUCUUCUAAGCAGGUCCUUCCCGUAUGCUGAAUGAGGCAGAGGGGCCUAUAGGAAAAAAACUGAACGAACAUGGUGAUGAACACAUUUGUCUUUAAAACCCUGCUGAAACACAGCCAGAAAUUUCUGUAACGCUCUACCCUUGGUUAAUUUUGACAAGAUUGUAAGGUACGUAAUACCCAGUGAGAGCAGGCAGAAACUUUUGUAGUGUACGCUGUAGUAUGUAUUAGGCAUUCAGCCGCAUACAAAUAUUACUGUUAAAUGUUGCAAUACUAUUCUUACAUGAUACUUGCAUGAUAGUAACAAUCUUGUGUCAGUAUCUUUAAAAAAACUUAUAGUCAUGAUAAACUUAAGGCAUCUGUAGAAUAAAAUGACAAAAUAAAUUACCA
RNAcentral lists this long non-coding RNA (647 nucleotides) under Struthio camelus australis. Its description in RNAcentral is "lncRNA (ENSSCUG00000001184.1)". The record is from RNAcentral. Lineage: Eukaryota; Metazoa; Chordata; Aves; Struthioniformes; Struthionidae.